This 629-nucleotide ribosomal RNA is filed under the name uncultured bacterium. RNAcentral describes it as "bacterial SSU rRNA". The stretch from base 1 to 532 matches the Rfam family "Bacterial small subunit ribosomal RNA", at positions 338 to 873 of the family's 1533-position model. The record is from RNAcentral.
CCUACGGGAGGCAGCAGUAGGGAAUAUUGGGCAAUGGGCGAAAGCCUGACCCAGCCACGCCGCGUGCAGGAAGACGGCCCUCUGGGUUGUAAACUGCUUUUAACUGGGAAGAAAGCAGCCCUUGCGAGGGAAUUUGACGGUACCAGUUGAAUAAGCCACGGCUAACUACGUGCCAGCAGCCGCGGUAAUACGUAGGUGGCAAGCGUUAUCCGGAUUUAUUGGGUUUAAAGGGAGCGUAGGCGGCUUAAUAAGUCAGUGGUUAAAGGUAGCAGCUUAACUGUUUUACAUGCCACUGAUACUGUUGAGCUUGAGUUGACAGAAGGCAGAUAGAAUUUCUGGUGUAGCGGUGAAAUGCUUAGAUACCAGAAGGAAUACCGAUUGCGAAGGCAGUCUGCUGCAGUCACACUGACGCUGAGGCUCGAAGGUGCGGGGAUCAAACAGGAUUAGAUACCCUGGUAGUCCGCACAGUAAACGAUGAUUACUAGAUGUUGGCGAGAGCAGUGUCGACGGAACCGGAAGUAAGUAAUACACCGUCGGGUAGGUACGCCGGCGACGGUACGAAACGUUAAACGGUAAAGUUAGUACGGACGUGAGACGUGCCGACGGACGACGACGACGGGAGGUUAGGG